RNAcentral lists this transfer RNA (74 nucleotides) under Shinella fusca. RNAcentral's name for it is "tRNA-OTHER". The record is from RNAcentral. Lineage: Bacteria; Pseudomonadati; Pseudomonadota; Alphaproteobacteria; Hyphomicrobiales; Rhizobiaceae.
GGGCUGAUUAAACGUCCGAUGCGACGUGACUCUUAAUCAGCGGGUCCACGGUUCGAGCCCGUGAUCACCCACCA